CGGCGGACGGGUGAGUAACGCGUGGGUAACCUGCCUCAUACAGGGGGAUAACAGUUAGAAAUGGCUGCUAAUACCGCAUAAGACCACAGUACUGCAUGGUACAGUGGUAAAAACUCCGGUGGUAUGAGAUGGACCCGCGUCUGAUUAGGUAGUUGGUGAGGUAAUGGCCCACCAAGGCGACGAUCGGUAGCCGGACUGAGAGGUUGAACGGCCACAUUGGGACUGAGACACGGCCCAG
This 238-nucleotide ribosomal RNA is filed under the name uncultured bacterium. Its description in RNAcentral is "partial 16S ribosomal RNA". It matches the Rfam family "Bacterial small subunit ribosomal RNA", at positions 96 to 334 of the family's 1533-position model. The record is from RNAcentral.